Molecule: ribosomal RNA, 1361 nt
Filed under: Kocuria aegyptia
Lineage: Bacteria; Bacillati; Actinomycetota; Actinomycetes; Micrococcales; Micrococcaceae
Description: partial 16S ribosomal RNA
Rfam family: Bacterial small subunit ribosomal RNA
Source: RNAcentral
AGGGCCACCGCUUGCGGGGCCUGAUUAGUGGCGAACGGGUGAGUAAUACGUGAGUAACCUGCCCUUGACUCUGGGAUAAGCCUGGGAAACUGGGUCUAAUACUGGAUACUACUGUUCACCGCAUGGUGGGUGGUGGAAAGGGUUUUACUGGUUUUGGAUGGGCUCACGGCCUAUCAGCUUGUUGGUGGGGUAAUGGCUCACCAAGGCGACGACGGGUAGCCGGCCUGAGAGGGUGACCGGCCACACUGGGACUGAGACACGGCCCAGACUCCUACGGGAGGCAGCAGUGGGGAAUAUUGCACAAUGGGCGGAAGCCUGAUGCAGCGACGCCGCGUGAGGGAUGACGGCCUUCGGGUUGUAAACCUCUUUCAGUAGGGAAGAAGCGCAAGUGACGGUACCUGCAGAAGAAGCGCCGGCUAACUACGUGCCAGCAGCCGCGGUAAUACGUAGGGCGCAAGCGUUGUCCGGAAUUAUUGGGCGUAAAGAGCUCGUAGGCGGUUUGUCGCGUCUGCUGUGAAAGCCCGGGGCUCAACCCCGGGUCUGCAGUGGGUACGGGCAGACUAGAGUGCAGUAGGGGAGACUGGAAUUCCUGGUGUAGCGGUGAAAUGCGCAGAUAUCAGGAGGAACACCGAUGGCGAAGGCAGGUCUCUGGGCUGUUACUGACGCUGAGGAGCGAAAGCAUGGGGAGCGAACAGGAUUAGAUACCCUGGUAGUCCAUGCCGUAAACGUUGGGCACUAGGUGUGGGGGACAUUCCACGUUUUCCGCGCCGUAGCUAACGCAUUAAGUGCCCCGCCUGGGGAGUACGGCCGCAAGGCUAAAACUCAAAGGAAUUGACGGGGGCCCGCACAAGCGGCGGAGCAUGCGGAUUAAUUCGAUGCAACGCGAAGAACCUUACCAAGGCUUGACAUUCACCGGACCGCCCCAGAGAUGGGGUUUCCCUUCGGGGUCGGUGGACAGGUGGUGCAUGGUUGUCGUCAGCUCGUGUCGUGAGAUGUUGGGUUAAGUCCCGCAACGAGCGCAACCCUCGUUCUAUGUUGCCAGCACGUGAUGGUGGGGACUCAUAGGAGACUGCCGGGGUCAACUCGGAGGAAGGUGGGGAUGACGUCAAAUCAUCAUGCCCCUUAUGUCUUGGGCUUCACGCAUGCUACAAUGGCCGGUACAAAGGGUUGCGAUACUGUGAGGUGGAGCUAAUCCCAAAAAGCCGGUCUCAGUUCGGAUUGAGGUCUGCAACUCGACCUCAUGAAGUCGGAGUCGCUAGUAAUCGCAGAUCAGCAACGCUGCGGUGAAUACGUUCCCGGGCCUUGUACACACCGCCCGUCAAGUCACGAAAGUUGGUAACACCCGAAGCCGGGGUAGUAAC